GACAGAGGGUGCAAACGUUGUUCGGAAUUACUGGGCGUAAAGCGUGUGUAGGCGGUCCGCUAAGUCGGGUGUGAAAGCCCUGGGCUCAACCCAGGAAGUGCACUCGAAACUGGCGGGCUAGAGUAUCGGAGAGGUUGGUGGAAUUCUCGGUGUAGAGGUGAAAUUCGUAGAUAUCGAGAGGAACACCGGUGGCGAAGGCGGCCAACUGGACGAAUACUGACGCUGAGACACGAAAGCGUGGGUAGCAAACAGG
RNAcentral lists this ribosomal RNA (253 nucleotides) under uncultured bacterium. Its description in RNAcentral is "partial 16S ribosomal RNA". It matches the Rfam family "Bacterial small subunit ribosomal RNA", at positions 524 to 776 of the family's 1533-position model. The record is from RNAcentral.